RNAcentral lists this non-coding RNA (25 nucleotides) under Cricetulus griseus (Chinese hamster). Lineage: Eukaryota; Metazoa; Chordata; Mammalia; Rodentia; Cricetidae. The record is from RNAcentral.
ACCACAAAAAGAUUUUAGAAUAUAG